Molecule: ribosomal RNA, 407 nt
Filed under: uncultured bacterium
Lineage: Bacteria
Description: partial 16S ribosomal RNA
Rfam family: Bacterial small subunit ribosomal RNA
Source: RNAcentral
AUUGAACGCUGGCGGCAGGCCUAACACAUGCAAGUCGAGCGGAGCGGCGGACGGGUGAGUAAUGCCUAGGAAUCUGCCUGGUAGUGGGGGAUAACGUCCGGAAACGGGCGCUAAUACCGCAUACUAUCAGAUGAGCCUAGGUCGGGUUAGCUAGUUGGUGGGGUAAAGGCUUACCAAGGCGACGAUCCGUAACUGGUCUGAGAGGGUGAUCAGUCACACGGGAACGGAGACACGGUCCAGGCUCCAACGGGAGGCGGCAGUGGGGAAUAUUGGACAAUGGGCAAAAGCCUGAUCCAGCCAGGCCGCGUGUGUGAAGAAGGUCUUCGGAUUGUAAAGCACUUUAAGUUGGGAGGCGGUACCAACAGAAGAAGCACCGGCUAACUUCAUGCCAGCAGCCGCGGUAAUUC